AGAAGACAUUUUAAUUUACCAGGAAAGUUGAUUGAGAGGACAAUUUAAUUUACCAGGAAAGUUGACUGAGAAGACAUUUUAAUUUACCAGGAAUGUUGACUGAGAAGACAAUUUAAUUUACCAGGGAAAGUUGACUGAGAAGACAAUUUAAUUUACCAGGAAAGUUGAUUGAGAAGACAGUUUAAUUUACCAGGAAAGUUGACUGAGAAGACAAUUUAAUUUACCAGGAAAGUUGACUGAGAAGACAAUUUCAUUUACCAGGAAAGUUGACUGAGAAGACAAUUUCAUUUACCAGGAAAGUUGACUGAGAAGACAAUUUAAUUUACCAGGAAAGUUGACUGAGAAGACAAUUUAAUUUACCAGGAAAGUUGACUGAGAAGACCAUUUAAUUUACCAGGAAAGUUGACUGAGAAGACAAUUUAAUUUACUAGGAGUUGACUGAGAAGAUAAUUUAAUUUACCAGGAAAGUUGACUGAGAAGACAAUUUAAUUUACCAGGAAAGUUGACUGAGAGGACAAUUGAAUUUACUAGGAAAGUUGACUGAGAAGACAAUUGAAUUUACUAGGAAAGUUGACUGAGAAGACAAUUGAAUUUACUAGGAAAGUUGACUGAGAGGACAAUUGAAUUUACCAGGAAAGUUGACUGAGAAGACAAUUUAAUUUACCAGGAAAGUUGACUGAGAAGACAAUUUAAUUUACCAGGAAAGUUGACUGAGAAGACAAUUUAAUUUACCAGGAAAGUUGACUGAGAAGACAGUUUAAUUUACCAGGAAAGUUGACUGAGAAGACAAUUUAAUUUACCAGGAAAGUUGACUGAGAAGACAGUUUAAUUUACCAGGAAAGUUGACUGAGAAGACAAUUUAAUUUACCAGGAAAGUUGACUGAGAAGACAGUUUAAUUUACCAGGAAAGUUGACUGAGAGGACAAUUUAAUUUACUAGGAAAGUUGACUGAGAAGACAGUUUAAUUUACCAGGAAAGUUGACUGAGAAGACAGUUUAAUUUACCAGUGUAACGGCAGAUCUCCUCUUCGUCUGAAGAGGAGUAAGGACCAGACCAAGAUGCAGCGUGGUGCUGCAGAAGCUUCAGAACCAGCACCUUCAGCACCCCUACCUCCUGCAGCGUUGGUGUUAUAGAUACUGGAGGAGAUGGACUGUCUUUUCAACAUGUCAUCAUCACUGUUGCUGUUGGUUUGGUUGAUGCAAAAAGUCAGACAUCUUCAGCUGUGGAGACAAUAAAAAAAUCAAAACCAUGUAAUUUGCAAAGUCCAAGUCAACGUAUAUCUGUACUACGAGUCCUUGGGCAACGUCUUGUAUGGCAAGAACAGGCCAAUGUGGAAGCUGCCUGAACCCUUCACAGAGAGGUUGCAUCCUGUUUAUGGUCAUUCCUCUCCAUGAAGAGACCAUCAACGACCAGAUGAUGGUCCCCUUCAGUCAGGUGGACAUUGACAGUGCUGAGGUCAAGCUCAGCCCUCCACCGAACCCGCUGAAGCAAACAGGACUAAUGAAAACAAAAACACAUUGACGGAGUGAAACAGAAUGCCUUUGUCACAAACACCAGGAGUGGUGGGUGCAGAGUCAGAUGCAGAGAGCAGAGGAUACUGGGGAACCGACUUCAUUAGGAUUCCCAAAACCAACGCCCAAAACAACGCACAAACACAGGGC
Molecule: long non-coding RNA, 1661 nt
Organism: Oncorhynchus keta (chum salmon)
Lineage: Eukaryota; Metazoa; Chordata; Actinopteri; Salmoniformes; Salmonidae
Exons: 4
Source: RefSeq, a predicted model, not a curated record